Molecule: ribosomal RNA, 257 nt
Filed under: uncultured prokaryote
Description: partial 16S ribosomal RNA
Rfam family: Bacterial small subunit ribosomal RNA
Source: RNAcentral
UACGGAGGAUGCAAGCGUUAUCCGGAUUUAUUGGGUUUAAAGGGUGGGCAGGUUGUUUGAUAAGUCAGUGGUGAAAGUCUGUCGCUUAACGGUAGGAUUGCCAUUGAUACUGUUAGACUUGAAUAUGGAUGAGGUAGGCGGAAUGUGUAGUGUAGCGGUGAAAUGCAUAGAUAUUACACAGAACACCGAUUGCGAAGGCAGCUUACUAAUCCAUCAUUGACGCUGAGGCACGAAAGCGUGGGGAUCAAACAGGAUUA